AGUGGUUGGUUAAACCUGUUAGAGAGGAGAGAACGGAUCCUUGUUUCCUACUGAGUAAGGUGUGAUUGGCCAAAAUACACACCGCUGACCUGAGUAUUUACCUGCUGUGGGAGCAACGUCGGGCCAAUACAGACAACUGGAAAAGCCCAUGUGUACCGGCAGGCGGCUGGGCUGCCAGGCUUAUACCUGGACAUAGAAAAUGGUCGGAGGCAGCCUAGAGCCUGUGCUGAAGAAGCUCUUGCCCAGGAGCCAGAUCUGUUUCAGAGGAAAGAACAGCAGCUGCAGAUUUUUCUGGAGGAAAGAGGGAUGUCCUUUGCCCCUAGCAUAAAUCCACACCUUUUUAUGCUGGGAAUCCAGAGCAGAAGUCCAGAAGUCCUUGGGCAAUUCUCAAGCCCAUCAGUAGGGACUGCUCAGCCUGAGGAAGAGGAAUACAGGCCCACAACCACCCCCUCGCCAAUGGGAGUCCUUUACCACUCCACCUCUCAUUCCACAUCCCUUUGACCCCAGUGUGGUUACAGGACAAAAGACCUUUCUUCAACAUCUGGGAGCAAUUAAAGAAAAAUCCUUACCUUUCCCCAUGUCAAUAAAUGCAGUGGGGAAAAGGGACAGUAAGAAAUGGAGCAAGCAAAGUAGACCACAGGAAGGGUUUGCGUGUGAUUUGUGAGCCUGGAGAAGGAGCAUGGAAUACCAGAGUGCCAAAUUAAGGCAUGCCCAGCAAAUGAAAGGACAAGGUGAAAUCCAGGAGCCUUCAGAAUUAAUUACUGGAACAACAGAGCCGACGUGAAGUGAUGUGAGCUCACGGUAGCCUAUCCAGCCAGCUUCAGGUGCAAAGGCACUGUCACAGCAGAAAUUUUCAAUUAUUGUUCUCCUGAGAAAAGAGAUGAGUUUUAUUGAACCUCAGAAAACUCUGCACCUAUGCAUGGCAAUGCCGUACAGCAGGACCCUUCGCAGCCUCUCACAGCACCUAAUGCCACGGCACACGGGAUGCUGCGGGCAAUGCCCCUUUACUUCAGACAGGCACGGCUGCUCCCACAGCACUGUCGGAACAGGACACACCAGUGCAGUUACUGGUAACAGUCACAGCUCUGCGGCCCCUGGAGCGCACAUGAAACGGAAAAUCAUCUGGUGGUCCAGCCCGGUCUGACAGCAAGAUGCCCUCAUUCAGGGUGGCAGACAGCAAAAGCAGUAUGUACUUUCCAGAGAAAGCGCUGACUUGAUCCCUAGGUAUUUCUGCCUAGAGAUUAAAUAGAGCAAAGAGUUUUAACUCCUUAGCAUUUCUAAAGGGCUGACUGCUGCAGUGUGAAUGUGCUACGUGAGAAUUGCCCUGUGAUGAUCUGAUCUCUUCUAUCCUGCUUUUCCAGCCUUUCUUUGCUUUCUGCACAUCGCAAUGCGCACACUAAUUGAAGCUUCACGGAGAUAUUUUUUUGGCCGUGCAAGGAUAUGUGGAGGCUUUGUGAAAAUGAUCUUCUCCAAAGAGGAUAUAGGAUUAAUUUUAGCAUGGGUCAGGUGUCAUACACUUGCAUGGAUUCAAAAACAAAAGCAGGCAGAAAUAAAUGUAAGUGCAGUAACCAGCUGGUGUACAGGGCUGCGUUAACCUGCAAUUCUGGGAUCUUUGCUAUCACUGUAAUCAUAACAAAUAUAUCACUAGCUUGUAGCACCUCUGUCCAAAGAUGAUAAAGUACUUCACCAA
Long non-coding RNA from Gymnogyps californianus (California condor), 1690 nucleotides. RefSeq lists it as uncharacterized. The record is from RefSeq and is a predicted model, not a curated record. NCBI's taxonomy places the organism in Eukaryota, Metazoa, Chordata, Aves, Accipitriformes, Cathartidae. The transcript is spliced from 5 exons.